Long non-coding RNA from Aphis gossypii (cotton aphid), 569 nucleotides. RefSeq lists it as uncharacterized. The transcript is spliced from 2 exons. NCBI's taxonomy places the organism in Eukaryota, Metazoa, Arthropoda, Insecta, Hemiptera, Aphididae. The record is from RefSeq and is a predicted model, not a curated record.
UAUUGAAAGACUAGUGCAAAUACAGUAUCGUGUGCAAAAAAAAUAUUGUUCUGGUCGCUUACACAAAAUUAAUAAUAAUAAAAUAAGUUGUUGUUGUUGUUGUUGACUGUGAAAUCGUUUGGUGUUUGACGAUUGUAUAAAAAUCGUCGCUGAUCGUGCCGCUGAGUAGUAUUGCUCUAUAUAAUUAUUAUUGGAUUAUAUGUUUACACGUUGAUUCGUAUGAUGCUGAUGCGUAUGUUAUUGUGUUGCGUUGUCGUCGUAUUUUGUAUUUGUACGAUGGCGGUGGCCAGUUUUGCAAAAACGAAGAAAGAACGAUUGGUGGAAAGACAGGGGAAAUUGCAGAACCUCCAUUUCGAAAGAGUCACCGAUUCCAGUCGAACCGCCAAACAAUCAGCUGACGUCAAUUAUAGGAAACAUACAGUCGACAAGUCGAAGAAGCGCGUUAUAUCGCGAUAAAACAUGCGUCGAUGUAAACCUAGUACGUUAAAUUAUAAGAAAUAUACAUAAAAAAAAAAAAUAAAUGAUAAAUACAAAUCGAGUAGCGGCAGAUAUAGCAGUUUUACAUAUUA